CCAGCGAUCCACUUCAGUUUCCGGCCAACACGGGGGCGAAAUCCCCGAGAUGUAUGACCGAGGGCUGCGGGAGAGAGACUCAGCUUCAAUGUCCCACUUGCAGGAAGCUGGGCCUCCAGGAAGCUUUCUUCUGCUCUCAGGAAUGCUUCAAGAACAGCUGGCAGGAACAUAAGAAACUCCACCGGAGAGCCCGUGCAGAGACCCAGCCCGGGACCGACAGGGUGACCUCAGAGCUCGAACCUCAGCCCCACGACGUGGGCUCACCCGCCGAGCUCCAACAAAAGGUCCAAGUCCAAGUCAAGUCUCACGUCCCUGAGAUCCAAGUCAAGUCUCACGUCCCUGAGCUCCAGGUCCAGCCGCCAGCCCCUCAGCUCCAGGUCCAGCCGCCAGCCCCUGAGCUACAGGUCCAGCCUCCAGUCCCUGAGCUCCAGGUCCAGCCUCCAGUCCCUGAGCUCCAGGUCCAGCCUCCAGUCCCUGAGCUCCAAGCCAAGCCUCCAGUCCCUGAGCUCCAAGCCAAGCCUCCAGUCCCUGAGCUCCAAGCCAAGCCUCCAGUCCCUGAGCUCCAAGCCAAGCCUCCAGUCCCUGAGCUCCAAGCCAAGCCUCCAGUCCCUGAGCUCCAAGCCAAGCCUCAAGCCCCUUAGAUCCAAGUCAAGCCUCAAGUCCCUGAGAUCCAAGUCCAAGUCAAGUCUCACCUCCCUGAGGUCCAAGCCAAGCCUCCAGUCUCUUAUGUCCAAGCCAAGCCUCCAGGCUCUGACGCCCAAGCCAAGCCUCCAGUCUCUUAUGUCCAAGCCAAGCCUCCAGGCUCUGAUGCCCAAGCCAAGCCUCCAGGCUCUGACGCACAAGCCAAGCUUCACGUCCCUGAGCUCACGUUCAAGCCUGCUGAUCCAGUUUCCCAAGCUCUGCUAAUAUCUCAGCCUAAUGACCAAAUGCUGCUCACGCCCAAGUCUACCGACCCGGUCACCCAAGUUCAGCCCACUGACACACACAGCCAAGUUCUGCUCAUGCGCCGGUCUGCCGACAGGCCCAGCCAAGUUCCGCUCACGCCACAGUCUGCUGACACGCCCAGCCAAGCUCUG
Ictalurus punctatus (channel catfish) is the source of this 1076-nucleotide long non-coding RNA. NCBI's taxonomy places the organism in Eukaryota, Metazoa, Chordata, Actinopteri, Siluriformes, Ictaluridae. The record is from Ensembl.